CCGUUGGUGUAAAGGGAGCAGCUGAGAAUCCAUAAAGCUGGCUGCUGAGAAAGUCAAGUGGAGGCCUGCCUGGCUGAAACCUCUUCAAUAGAUCUGUAGUCUGGACUUGAACCCUGCCCUCUCACCUCAGGGUCCGAUAUUUCUUUCUUUGCUAUUCCCCCCCUCCCGCCCCCACCUUCUCUUCUCCUCCCUGCUUCUCUAUCGAGGAGUGAUAAACUCAGACUGAGUGAAUAAAUGUGAGUGACCCCCAUCCACCCACCCCCACCUCCCUGAGCUGAGAGAGAGAGAGGAAACAGACAGAGGAGGGAAGGGAGACAGGAGACGGAGGGGGAAAGGAGGGUCCCGACUUCCUCACAGGUAAUUAAAGGGACUGUUUUCAAGGUUGCAUGGGCAAAAGACAAUUCGGCCCUAAUGAAGCAUCGAUCGACUGGCACUAAAGGUAGAAGGGAGCUGACAUUCAUUCAAAGGUCUCAACUGUCUUAUUUAAGCCUGAAUGAAGAAAGGGACAUGUCAUGGGUGGAUAGUAACGGAGUCCACCCUGGUGGCACGUCCCGCCCCGGCUCUGUGCUUCCCCUGGGCACUUCGGAUCAUUCCCUACCAUGUUCUUACAGCUCCUGUUUCUAAAAGUGCACUACCAGUAUGGUUUUGCUGAAUUACUUUGAAACUUCUAAGCACAGACAAUGGCCAAUGUUAUUUUAAAAGCAUUUACAAACAUCUUCAUAGGCAUUGGGUGGGUAAAGACACAUCCGAAUGCUGCUGCAGCAUCUGAAGACUUGCAGGCUCUUCUUUUGGUGGCCAGCUCUGUGACCACACCUGCGUGCUCCUCACCGUAAACAGAAGAGUCGAUUUUUCCUUGGCUAAGAUGCAGAAUUUUUGUUUUGGUCUGUCCCUCCUUGAUUUUUCUACCUCUACGGCCUGAUAAUUUGGUAGAGUUAUCUGACUGUACAAAUAUAGCUGGAGGACAAAGAGGGAGUAAAAGGUCCUAAAUCAGUUUUCAUGGCUAAAGUGCACACGGAAUCCAUUUUGGCAAAAAGCACUUAAAUUCUCAGAAUUCCUCCAAAUCCUUAAAUGCCACACGGCUGUGAUAUUCCUUUGAAGAAGAGCAUUGGACCUAAUAAACUGAAUACUGGAGGCACAGAUCUCGUCUUCUUUAGUUCUUGCAACAGCUUUUCACUAAAUUCAAAAAAGACCUUUUGUGCUUAACUGGGUUUUCAUUUCAUUGCUUUUAAAUUUGUUAAGCUUGACUUUUGACACUUUGGGUGUUUAGCCUUUUUUUUUUUUUUCUCCAGUGCAAUUAUAUAAUAAAUAUUUGUGCUUCCCAAAAGGAAGACAUUAAUCUGUUGUUAAAGCUAAUAUACAAAGAAUAAAAUGUACUUCACUCUUUUGUUAGAAAUAACCCAUAUAACUAUGUACGUUUUCUAAACAUCAUUUUUAAGUAACUGAUAGUAUAAACUAUUUUUGAAAUAACUCAGUGAAACCCUGUAUACAUGCUAUGUUUACUCCACUCUGCUGGAGAGCGUAAGCAAAAUAGAAAAAAAAUUAAUAAAGCCAAGAAGGAAAAAUAACUUCCAUAAAUAAUGAUUUAAAUAAAAAGUGGUACUGAAUUGCUAUCGAAACAAAUUAAACAUCAAAUGAUAAAAAAAACCACUAGCAAAUCAAAAUUCUCUCUCAAAAAUCAAAGUAAUGGAUGCUUGUCCCAUUGAUUUAUUUACAUUUCUAGUUUGCUUCAGCAAACAAAAUAGUGUGAGUGGAGAUAGCUCUCAUCAGCCAAAAAAUGAAAACAGGUAUUUGUUUAAAAAAAAAAAAUUGCACUUGGAAUUUUAGUUUCUUCGCAGAAAUUACAAAAGGGACAUUGAGAAAUUGUUCAAAGGGUGACGCUUUGAAACUAAAGUUUCUGAUUUUUUUUUUUUUUUAUCUUUUAAACAUCCAGAAGUAAUCGUACUUUUAGAUGAAAAGUAUAAAUCUGGACCUAAUCUGGAUCUUUUCUGCCUUAAGGAAAUGAUUUAAAACUGAUUUUACAAAGAAAUAUUAAAAUCAAUCCAAGAAAUGACAUUAUCAUUAGUAAAUGGAACCUAAUUCUUAAACGUUUUAAUCCACUUACUUCAACCAUUCCAAACACAUUUAAAAUAUUUUCAUAUGUAUAGAUUUUAAACAUUUUCUAAAUUACAUAUUUCUUUAAAAUACCUUUUUCAUGUAUAUCUGUCACACUUCUUACUUGGGAAUUAUUAUGGGUUUGUAUUUUUUUAUGUCACGAAGAAAAUGACAGUCAUGAUAACAAGAGAAUAUGUACAUUUUCUAUCUAGUUUUGUUUCAAAUCCAAAUAAAUAGGAAUGUAAAAAUGGUUUAAAUGGUUAUUUUAGAACUCUGCAGGGAAUCUUCUUUUUAACAGUAUUUCAAGCCUUUUCUAAAGAUUUCUCACAUCAGUAUUAUGUUGUUGGUUUCCUUUUGAAAAAUACUCAGCGUUUUAGAGAACCUUAUAAUUUAAAUUUAUUUCCUAUGCAUAUGGUUUUGUCAAAAUCCCAAUCCAAACACAGAAAAUGCCCUGUGUCUCCUUAACACCUACAAAGCUAAUGUUUACAGGCCAGCUUAAAUCUGAAGAGAAAUAUUCACCACAACUCCGGGCUUUCUUUUUCUUUCUUUUUUUUUUUUUUUUUUUUCCUGGAUCAGUCGAGCUCUACAUUUGAUAUACAGACUGAUUUUUUUUUCCAUCAAAAUUACAUGAGAAGCAAAAAGCUGGAAUCUAAGACUCUCGACAAACUGGGCGGUUCUCUUCACUCCUCCUGUCUUUUCUCAGUGUCAGGCUCUAUGUUUAGAUAAAACCAUUUCUCUUUAUCAUUUUCAAGCUGGUCAGAUGGCCUAGAGGGUGGGAGGUGCAAAGAGGUGGCGGGGUGAGGGAAAAGGUGAUUGUUUCACUUGUUGUCAGAGGGCAUUGAUCAGCCUCGCUGUCUGCUGGUCUCAGAGGUGAGGCCACGUCCCCUAGGAGCACUUCGGGGCUGGGCCGUGUCAGUGCAAAGCUGUAUUGAGUCAUGACCCAAAUGAUGGCUUAUUGAGGGAAACGGGUAUUGGCGUCCAAAUCAUUCUGAGACCCCCUCAGUAACACUUACACCAGUCCCCUCCGUUAAUGUCAGGUCACGGGGGACACAUUUAGCUCCCUCC
Molecule: long non-coding RNA, 3156 nt
Filed under: Canis lupus familiaris (dog)
Lineage: Eukaryota; Metazoa; Chordata; Mammalia; Carnivora; Canidae
Description: lncRNA (ENSCAFG00030011682.1)
Source: RNAcentral